This 460-nucleotide ribosomal RNA is filed under the name uncultured bacterium. RNAcentral's name for it is "partial 16S ribosomal RNA". It matches the Rfam family "Bacterial small subunit ribosomal RNA", at positions 338 to 795 of the family's 1533-position model. The record is from RNAcentral.
CCUACGGGCGGCAGCAGUGAGGAAUAUUGGUCAAUGGACGAGAGUCUGAACCAGCCAAGUAGCGUGAAGGAUGACUGCCCUAUGGGUUGUAAACUUCUUUUAUAUGGGAAUAAAAUGUUCCACGUGUGGGAUUUUGUAUGUACCAUAUGAAUAAGGAUCGGCUAACUCCGUGCCAGCAGCCGCGGUAAUACGGAGGAUCCGAGCGUUAUCCGGAUUUAUUGGGUUUAAAGGGAGCGUAGGUGGAUUGUUAAGUCAGUUGUGAAAGUUUGCGGCUCAACCGUAAAAUUGCAGUUGAAACUGGCAGUCUUGAGUACAGUAGAGGUGAGCGGAAUUCGUGGUGUAGAGGUGAAAUGCUUAGAUAUCACGAAGAACUCCGAUUGCGAAGGCAGUUCACUGGACUGCAACUGACACUGAGGCUCGAAAGUGUGGGUAUCAAACAGGAUUAGAUACCCCUGUAGUC